GCCGGUGUGGCUCAGUGGUUAGAGUGUCGGCCUGCACACUGGAGGGUUAUGGGUUCGAUUCCCGGUCAAGGGCA
RNAcentral lists this transfer RNA (74 nucleotides) under Myotis davidii. It matches the Rfam family "tRNA". From Rfam's summary of the family: Transfer RNA (tRNA) molecules are approximately 80 nucleotides in length. Their secondary structure includes four short double-helical elements and three loops (D, anti-codon, and T loops). The record is from Rfam by way of RNAcentral. Lineage: Eukaryota; Metazoa; Chordata; Mammalia; Chiroptera; Vespertilionidae.